Molecule: ribosomal RNA, 483 nt
Filed under: uncultured bacterium
Lineage: Bacteria
Description: bacterial SSU rRNA
Rfam family: Bacterial small subunit ribosomal RNA
Source: RNAcentral
AAUCAACGCUGGCGGCGUGCCUAACACAUGCAAGUCGAACGCGAAAGCCCGCAAGGGUAAGUAGAGUGGCGCACGGGUGAGUAACACGUGGACAACCUGCCUUCGAGUGGGGAAUAACCUUCCGAAAGGAGGGCUAAUACCGCAUAACACCUCGGGACACAAGUUUUGGGGUUGAAAAGAGCAAUUUGCUCGAAGAGGGGUCCGCGCCUGAUUAGCUAGUUGGUGAGGUAACGGCUCACCAAGGCUUCGAUCAGUAGCCGUCCUGAGAGGGAGCACGGCCACACUGGAACUGAGACACGGUCCAGACUCCUACGGGAGGCAGCAGUGGGGGAAUUUUUGGCAAUGGGCGAAAGCCGUGACCAAGCAACGCCGGCGUGGGUGAUGAAGUAUCUUGGUACGUAAAACCCUUUCGGCAGGGACGAACCUAAUGACGGUACCUGCGGAAGAAGCCCCGGCUAACUCCGUGCCAGCCGCCGCUGUAAC